GAUUACAUGAGCUACAGGAUUUAUAAUUUUGAGUACUAUGAUGAGAGGGAAAAGUGUGCAGUGAUAAGCUUUAUGGAAAAGUCAUGUUUCAUUAAGUGCGAAUUUCACAUCUGGCUGACUGGUGGCUCUGGAUCUUAUCAUAAUUGCUUGCUAGAAUACGAGUACUUAUGCGGACAUCGGAAAUAUUACAACCUUUAUAAUCCUCGUGACUGCAAAUUCUAGCAAACAUAGGAUUGUACUAUUUCAAAACAGUUUGAAAGUUCUGCCGGGAUAUUAAAUGUUCAAACAUUGUCUG
Rhipicephalus microplus (southern cattle tick) is the source of this 295-nucleotide long non-coding RNA. NCBI's taxonomy places the organism in Eukaryota, Metazoa, Arthropoda, Arachnida, Ixodida, Ixodidae. The record is from RefSeq and is a predicted model, not a curated record.